CCUACCGGGAGCAGCAGUAGGGAUCUGCGCAUGGGCGAAAGCCUGACGCAGCGACGCGCGUGCGGGACGAAGGCCCUCGGGUUGUAAACCGCUUUCAGCAGGGACGAAGCGAAAGUGACGGUACCUGCAGAAGAAGGUCCGGCCAACUACGUGCCAGCAGCCGCGGUAAUACGUAGGGACCGAGCGUUGUCCGGAUUCAUUGGGCGUAAAGAGCUCGUAGGCGGCCACUCAAGUCGAAUGUGAAACCUCGAGGCUCAACCUCGAGCGUGCAUUCGAUACUGGGCGGCUAGAGUCUGGUAGGGGGAUCUGGAAUUCCUGGUGUAGCGGUGGAAUGCGCAGAUAUCAGGAGGAACACCGGUGGCGAAGGCGGGAUCCUGGGCCAGUACUGACGCUGAGGAGCGAAAGCGUGGGGAGCAAACAGGAUUAGAUACCCUGGUAGUCCACGCCGUAAACGAUGGGCGCUAGGUGUGGGAGGUCAUCGACUCCUUCCGUGCCGCAGCUAACGCAUUAAGCGCCCCGCCUGGGGAGUACGGCCGCAAGGCUAAAACUCAAAGGAAUUGACGGGGGCCCGCACAAGCGGCGGAGCAUGUUGCUUAAUUCGACGCGACGCGAAGAACCUUACCAGGGCUUGACAUGUAGGGAAAAGCCGUGGAGACACGGUGUCCGCAAGGGCCCUACACAGGUGUUGCAUGGCUGUCGUCAGCUCGUGUCGUGAGAUGUUGGGUUAAGUCCCGCAACGAGCGCAACCCUUGUCCUAUGUUGCCAGCGGUUCAAGCCGGGGACUCAUAGGAGACUGCCGGGGUCAACUCGGAGGAAGGUGGGGACGACGUCAAGUCAUCAUGGCCCUUAUGUCCUGGGCUGCAAACAUGCUACAAUGGCCGGUACAGAGGGCUGCAAACCCGCGAGGGGGAGCCAAUCCCAAAAAGCCGGUCUCAGUUCGGAUCGGGGUCUGCAACUCGACCCCGUGAAGUCGGAGUCGCUAGUAAUCGCGAAUCAGCAACGUCGCGGUGAAUACGUUCCCGGG
Molecule: ribosomal RNA, 1024 nt
Filed under: uncultured bacterium
Lineage: Bacteria
Description: bacterial SSU rRNA
Rfam family: Bacterial small subunit ribosomal RNA
Source: RNAcentral